AGUGAACGCUGGCGGUAGGCCUAACACAUGCAAGUCGAACGGCAGCACAGUAAGAGCUUGCUCUUACGGGUGGCGAGUGGCGGACGGGUGAGGAAUACAUCGGAAUCUACUUUUUCGUGGGGGAUAACGUAGGGAAACUUACGCUAAUACCGCAUACGACCUACGGGUGAAAGCAGGGGAUCUUCGGACCUUGCGCGAUUGAAUGAGCCGAUGUCGGAUUAGCUAGUUGGCGGGGUAAAGGCCCACCAAGGCGACGAUCCGUAGCUGGUCUGAGAGGAUGAUAAGCCACACUGGAACUUAGCCACGGUCCAGACUCCUACGGGAGGCAGCAGUGGGGAAUAUUGGACAAUGGGCGCAAGCCUGAUCCAGCCAUACCGCGUGGGUGAAGAAGGCCUUCGGGUUGUAAAGCCCUUUUGUUGGGAAAGAAAAGCAGCAGGUUAAUACCCCGCUGUUCUGACGGUACCCAAAGAAUAAGCACCGGCUAACUUCGUG
RNAcentral lists this ribosomal RNA (492 nucleotides) under uncultured bacterium. Its description in RNAcentral is "partial 16S ribosomal RNA". It matches the Rfam family "Bacterial small subunit ribosomal RNA", at positions 29 to 507 of the family's 1533-position model. The record is from RNAcentral.